RNAcentral lists this ribosomal RNA (675 nucleotides) under Inocybe nitidiuscula. RNAcentral's name for it is "eukaryotic LSU rRNA". It matches the Rfam family "Eukaryotic large subunit ribosomal RNA", at positions 1 to 653 of the family's 3401-position model. Lineage: Eukaryota; Fungi; Basidiomycota; Agaricomycetes; Agaricales; Inocybaceae. The record is from RNAcentral.
UUGACCUCAAAUCAGGUAGGACUACCCGCUGAACUUAAGCAUAUCAAUAAGCGGAGGAAAAGAAACUAACAAGGAUUCCCCUAGUAACUGCGAGUGAAGCGGGAAAAGCUCAAAUUUGAAAUCUGGCGGUUCCUUGGACUGUCCGAGUUGUAAUCUAGAGAAGUGUUACCUGUGCUGGACCGUGUACAAGUCUCCUGGAAUGGAGCAUCACAGAGGGUGAGAAUCCCGUCUUUGACACGGACUGCCAUGUGCGAUAUGGUGCGCUCUCGAAGAGUCGAGUUGUUUGGGAAUGCAGCUCAAAAUGGGUGGUAAAUGCCAUCUAAAGCUAAAUAUUGGCGAGAGACCGAUAGCGAACAAGUACCGUGAGGGAAAGAUGAAAAGAACUUUGGAAAGAGAGUUAAACAGUACGUGAAAUUGCUGAAAGGGAAACGCUUGAAGUCAGUCGCGUCGGCUAGAAAUCAGUCUUGCUUCUGCUUGAUGUACUUUCUGGUUAGACGGGUCAGCAUCAAUUUUGACCGCCGGAUAAAGUCGUCGGGAAUGUGGCAUCUUAGGAUGUGUUAUAGCCUGUCGUCGCAUACGGUGGUUGGGAUUGAGGAACUCAGCAUGCCGCAAGGCCGGGUCUUCUGACCACGUUCGUGCUUAGGAUGCUGGCAUAAUGGCUUUAAUCGACCCGUC